AUCAACAAAGUCUCUUUUUUAUGGUUUUAUUGUAUAACUUAUACUGAUUUGAAAUAAUCUCACAAGUACUUAUGUCAAUGAAUAAGCUCGGAUAAGUCAAUCUAAAUAGACAUUCAUUUUUUCAUGGUGUUUCUAUCUAUGCAUGAUUACGAAUCUGACAGUGAUAAUGUCGUCUACUUUCAUAGAAAAUAUUCUUUUCUUUCAUAGGAUUUCAUAAGAGAUUUUUGAAUGAAUUUUGGCUCAACUGUUCAAGAGAAUUGGAAGCCUUGAAAAGAGCUUUGAAGGGACACCAAAAAUUGCAAAACCAAAAAGGAGUAGUAAUAAUGAGACAAAUCUUGAUACAUGGCGCAUCCAACCCAAAACACGAAAGAGAUUUGAAGAAAAUACCGGUCUGUUAUGGGAGCACAAAAUCGAGUGAAAAUAUCAACCACAGAAUACAGCAAGAAUCAAUCAGAUGCACAAUUCAAUUUUAUUUAGGUUCAAACACAAUAAAGCAGAGCAACAAUAAUUCGAGUGAAUUUUACAGGUAC
This is a long non-coding RNA of Vicia villosa (hairy vetch), 530 nucleotides long. RefSeq lists it as uncharacterized. The record is from RefSeq and is a predicted model, not a curated record. The transcript has 4 exons. Lineage: Eukaryota; Viridiplantae; Streptophyta; Magnoliopsida; Fabales; Fabaceae.